GACUCUGUGGCGCAACGGUAGCGCGUCUGACUCCAGAUCAGAAGGCCGCGUGUUCAAAUCACGUCCGGGUCA
This 72-nucleotide transfer RNA is filed under the name Araneus ventricosus. It matches the Rfam family "tRNA". From Rfam's summary of the family: Transfer RNA (tRNA) molecules are approximately 80 nucleotides in length. Their secondary structure includes four short double-helical elements and three loops (D, anti-codon, and T loops). Lineage: Eukaryota; Metazoa; Arthropoda; Arachnida; Araneae; Araneidae. The record is from Rfam by way of RNAcentral.